GACGAACGCUGGCGGCGUGCCUAAUACAUGCAAGUAGAACGCACAGUUUAUACCGUAGCUUGCUACACCAUAGACUGUGAGUUGCGAACGGGUGAGUAACGCGUAGGUAACAUGCCUGGUAGCGGGGGAUAACUAUGGGAAACGAUAGCUAAUACCGCAUAAUAUUGAUGAUUGCAUGAUAAUUGAUUGAAUGAUGCUAUUGCAUCACUACCAGAUGGACCUGCGUUGUAUUAGCUAGUAGGUGAGGUAACGGCUCACCUAGGCGACGAUACAUAGCCGACCCGGGAGGGGGAUCGGGCACCCCUGGAACGGGACCACGCCCCGGCUCCCUCGGGAGGCAGCCGUAGGGAAACCUCGGCCAUGGACGAAAGUCUGACCGGGCAACGCCGCGUGAGUGAAGGAGGGUUUCGGAUCGGAAAGCUCUGUUGUAAGAGAAGAACGGAUGUUAUAGUGGAAAGUGCACACUGUGACGGUAUCUAAUCAGAAAGGCACGGCUAACUACGUG
RNAcentral lists this ribosomal RNA (505 nucleotides) under uncultured bacterium. Its description in RNAcentral is "partial 16S ribosomal RNA". It matches the Rfam family "Bacterial small subunit ribosomal RNA", at positions 28 to 507 of the family's 1533-position model. The record is from RNAcentral.